UGGGGAAUAUUGGACAAUGGGCGCAAGCCUGAUCCAGCGAUGCCACGUGUGCGAAGAAGGCCUUAGGGUUGUAAAGCACUUUAGUGGGGGAGGAAGUUAAGUGGGUUAAUACCUCAUUUAAUUGACAGUACCCCAAGAAUAAGCACCGGCAAACUCUGUGCCAGCAGCCGCGGUAAUACAGAGGGUGCAAGCGUUAAUCGGAAUUAUUGGGCGUAAAGGGCUUGUAGGCGGUUAGAUAAGUUAGGUGUGAAAACCCUGGGCUCAACCUGGGGCUGGCACUUAAUACUGUUUAGCUAGAGUAUAGGAGAGGAGAAGGGAAUUCCUGGUGUAGCGGUGAAAUGCGUAGAUAUCAGGAGGAACACCAGUGGCGAAGGCGCUUCUCUGGCCUAAUACUGACGCUGAGGAGCGAAGGCGUGGGGAUCAAACAGG
This 429-nucleotide ribosomal RNA is filed under the name uncultured bacterium. Its description in RNAcentral is "bacterial SSU rRNA". It matches the Rfam family "Bacterial small subunit ribosomal RNA", at positions 355 to 776 of the family's 1533-position model. The record is from RNAcentral.